UAGAAGCUUGCAUAGUCGUGCUGCAAUUUUUUUUGUCUAACGUGACUUCCUAAUGGUGACAGAGGCUGACUGCAGCAAAGGCAAACUCUCCCUAAUGUGAAGAACAUGGUUUGAAGCAGAAACAGCCCUGGUAGUGUUGUUUCCAUCACUGCAGAGAGACUGAAUUUGCACCAAAUUCUUCAGCUGCUGUUGGCUAUAGCUCCAGCACCACUGACUACUGAACAACCGAACUAAUCAUUUCAAUCCAUCAUCCAGGCUCCAGAUCAAAUUGAAAGGGGAGAUUAAAAUGGUAUACAAGUAAACUGAAAAUAGAAACAAGAAGAACUCACUUCAGUUAGCUUGAACAUCUGGAAGUUCACGGUUCACGUAUUGCAGAAGCCUGGCUUGGAGAAUUUUGAGGAUUACUUUACUACGAACAAAGCUAGUGCAGGUAAUGGAAUUCCAGUUGAGCUAUUUCAAAUCCUGAAAGAUGAUGCUUUGAAAGUGCUGCACUCAAUAUGCCAGCAACUUUGGAAAACUCAGCAGUGGCCACAGGACUAAAAAAGACUUGUGCUUCCUUGGCUUGGAGGAAAUCUGCUUAACUACCACCAUCUCAACCAGGAGCCAGACAGAGCUGGAUUCCUUCGCCAUUUCUGCAGUUUGCCUUUUGAGGUCCACAGGGAUCACUGCAUUGCCUCCACCGGAGGCCUGGAGAGAGUCCAGCAGGAAAGGAGAGGCUGGUCCUCUGCCUGGGACAAGCUCCAUGAUGUCAGUGGCAGCAGCUUUGCCCACUCUCAGCUAAAUUACAAACUCUCUCCUCAUCCCAUAUUACUGGCGGCGACACAGAGUCUCUUUGUCAACUGCUCCAAAUCACCCAGCAAACUGCCUCUCAGGCUAAGAGGACGGCUAAGACCCAACAACUGGGUGGCCGCAGGGCACUCAAAACCUCCUGUGAACAGGCACUAUCAGCAAACCGAGGGCAGACCAGGCGAGACAACUCAGAGCCCAGAAUUCACGCUGCAGCUGCCCCUGGCCUCUCUCUCCAAGCUUCCUUGCUGCCCAGGGAACAGGCAAAGGUCUCAGGACCUCAGCUCUUCUGGCGCAGAGAGAAACACAACAAAAUCCACCAGCUUUUGCCUCCUGUCUCUUUCCAUUUUGUUAGGCCAGUGGAAAGAAGAACCAGAAAAAAAACAUUUUUUCUAAUUUUAAUGUUGUCCAUUGUAAUAAAC
This 1208-nucleotide long non-coding RNA is filed under the name Capra hircus (goat). RNAcentral describes it as "lncRNA (ENSCHIG00000004667.1)". Lineage: Eukaryota; Metazoa; Chordata; Mammalia; Artiodactyla; Bovidae. The record is from RNAcentral.